UAGGGAAUCUUCGGCAAUGGGGGCAACCCUGACCGAGCAACGCCGCGUGAGUGAAGAAGGUUUUCGGAUCGUAAAGCUCUGUUGUAAGAGAAGAACGUGUGUGAGAGUGGAAAGUUCACACAGUGACGUUAACUUACCAGAAAGGGACGGCUAACUACGUGCCAGCAGCCGCGGUAAUACGUAGGUCCCGAGCGUUGUCCGGAUUUAUUGGGCGUAAAGCGAGCGCAGGCGGUUUAAUAAGUCUGAAGUUAAAGGCAGUGGCUUAACCAUUGUUCGCUUUGGAAACUGGUAAACUUGAGUGCAGAAGGGGAGAGUGGAAUUCCAUGUGUAGCGGUGAAAUGCGUAGAUAUAUGGAGGAACACCGGUGGCGAAAGCGGCUCUCUGGUCUGUAAAUGACGCUGAGGCUCGAAAGCGUGGGGAGCAAACAGG
RNAcentral lists this ribosomal RNA (429 nucleotides) under bacterium. RNAcentral's name for it is "partial 16S ribosomal RNA". It matches the Rfam family "Bacterial small subunit ribosomal RNA", at positions 355 to 776 of the family's 1533-position model. The record is from RNAcentral.